GAUGAAUAACGUAGCGAAAUGCGAUAAGUAAUGUGAAUUGCAGAAUUCAGUGAAUCAUCGAAUCUUUGAACGCACAUUGCGCCCAUUAGUAUUCUAGUGGGCAUGCCUGUUCGAGCGUCAUUUCAACCCUUAAGCCUAGCUUAGUAUUGGGAAUCGACUUUACUGUCGUUCCUCAAAUUCAACGGCGGAUUUAUAGCAAUCUCUGAACGUAGUAAUUUUUUUCCUCGUUUUUGAAAUACUAUAAACCUCAGCCGCUAAACCCCCAAUUUUUCUAUGGUUGACCUCGGAUCAGGUAGGAAUACCCGCUGAACUUAAGCAUAUCAAUAAGCGGAGGA
Molecule: unclassified non-coding RNA, 335 nt
Filed under: soil metagenome
Description: partial contains 5.8S ribosomal RNA, internal transcribed spacer 2, and large subunit ribosomal RNA
Rfam family: 5.8S ribosomal RNA (bases 1-120)
Source: RNAcentral